This 74-nucleotide transfer RNA is filed under the name Selaginella lyallii. RNAcentral's name for it is "tRNA-Met". It matches the Rfam family "tRNA". From Rfam's summary of the family: Transfer RNA (tRNA) molecules are approximately 80 nucleotides in length. Their secondary structure includes four short double-helical elements and three loops (D, anti-codon, and T loops). The record is from RNAcentral. Lineage: Eukaryota; Viridiplantae; Streptophyta; Lycopodiopsida; Selaginellales; Selaginellaceae.
CCUACUUAACUCAGUUGGUCAGAGUGUCGCUUUCAUACGGCGAGAGUCGUUGGUUCGAAUCCAAUAGUAGGUAA